GACGAACGCUGGCGGCGUGCUUAACACAUGCAAGUCGAACGGUAAACUCCGCUUGCGGGGGGAUCAGUGGCGAACGGGUGAGUAACACGUGGGCAACCUGCCCUCAGCUCUUGGAUAACUCCAAGAACUUGGGGCUAAUACCGCAUAUGACCGCUGACCGCAUGGUCUGGUGGUGGAAAGAUUUAUCGGCUGGGGAUGGGCCCGCGGCCUAUGAGCUAGUUGGUGGAGUAGUGGCCUACCAAGGCGGCGACGGAUAGCCGGCCCGAGAGGGUGGACGGCCACAAUGGGACUGAGGGAGGGCGCAGAGUCGAAUGGGAGGCAGCAGUGGGGAGUAUGGCGCAAUGGGAGAACGUCUGAGGCAGAGACGCCGCGUGGGGAAAGACGGCCUUCGGGUUGUAAACAGCUUUCAGCAGGGACGAAGCGAAAGUGACGGUACCUGAAGAAGAAGCACCGGCCAACUACGUG
This 465-nucleotide ribosomal RNA is filed under the name uncultured bacterium. RNAcentral's name for it is "partial 16S ribosomal RNA". It matches the Rfam family "Bacterial small subunit ribosomal RNA", at positions 28 to 507 of the family's 1533-position model. The record is from RNAcentral.